Molecule: ribosomal RNA, 492 nt
Filed under: uncultured bacterium
Lineage: Bacteria
Description: partial 16S ribosomal RNA
Rfam family: Bacterial small subunit ribosomal RNA
Source: RNAcentral
AGUGAGCGCUGGCGGUAGGCCUAACACAUGCCAGUCGAACGGCAGCACAGUAAGAGCUUGCUCUUACGGGUGGCGAGUGGCGGACGGGUGAGGAAUACAUCGGAAUCUACUUUUUCGUGGGGGAUAACGUAGGGAAACUUACGCUAAUACCGCAUACGACCUACGGGUGAAAGCAGGGGAUCUUCGGACCUUGCGCGAUUGAAUGAGCCGAUGUCGGAUUAGCUAGUUGGCGGGGUAAAGGCCCACCAAGGCGACGAUCCGUAGCUGGUCUGAGAGGAUGAUCAGCCAAACUUGAAAUUAGACACGGUCCAGACUCCUACGGGAGGCAGCAGUGGGGAAUAUUGGACAAUGGGCGCAAGCCUGAUCCAGCCAUACCGCGUGGGUGAAGAAGGCCUUCGGGUUGUAAAGCCCUUUUGUUGGGAAAGAAAAGCAGCAGGUUAAUACCCCGCUGUUCUGACGGUACCCAAAGAAUAAGCACCGGCUAACUUCGUG